RNAcentral lists this ribosomal RNA (496 nucleotides) under uncultured bacterium. Its description in RNAcentral is "partial 16S ribosomal RNA". It matches the Rfam family "Bacterial small subunit ribosomal RNA", at positions 29 to 523 of the family's 1533-position model. The record is from RNAcentral.
AUUGAACGCUGGCGGCAUGCCUUACACAUGCAAGUCGAACGGUAGAGGGGGCAACCUCUCGAGAGUGGCGAACGGGUGAGUAAAGCAUCGGAACGUGCCCAGUAGUGGGGGAGAGCCCGGCGAAAGCCGGAUUAAUACCGCAUGAGACCUACGGGGGAAAGGGGGGGAUCGCAAGCCCUCUCGCUAUUGGCGCGGCCGAUGUCAGAUUAGGGAGUUGACGGGGUAAAGGCCUACCAAGCCGACGGUCUGUAGCUGGUCUGAGAGGACGACCAGCCACACUGGGACUGAGACACGGCCCAGACUCCUACGGGAGGCAGCAGUGGGGAAUUUUGGACAAUGGGCGAAAGCCUGAUCCAGCCAUGCCGCGUGCGGGAAGAAGGCCUUCGGGUUGUAAACCGCUUUUGUCAGGGAAGAAAUCCUUUGAGUUAAUACCUCGGGGGGAUGACGGUACCUGAAGAAUAAGCACCGGCUAACUACGUGCCAGCCGCCGCAGUAA